GAGAAGAGCCAGCAGCCACCGAUAGAGCAAAGAGCUGCGACCCAACUAGCCAGCUCGUUGCUCAGUAGUACUAGUAUUAGUUUUCAUCCUGCAAUAAGAGCCACCAUAUCCAGAGCAUUGUAAGGCUCAAGAAGGUAGUUAGAAGCAUUGGCAUGUAUGUACGCAUACACUGGCACAAGGAUUCUUGAAGGCAGAAGAAGCUCUGAAAGCUAAUCGCGUGAAGACCUGUAUGGCCGAAGAGCAAUGACUGGUACACAGAGGCCAGCCAAUUAUCCACGGAGAGACAAUGCCCACGUGAACAAAGCAAAAUUUGAUAGAUUCCUGAAGAUUGAAGUUUGUCGGGGCACUAUCUCUCGCUCUUAUCCAUCGCCUAGAGGGACACGCAUGCAUCCCUACUACAUAUAAAAUAAGAGGUGCAUUCUCCUGGAAGCCAUCCAGAGAGCUGCUCUCUCGCCUAUAAAAGGAGACAUUUGCUGCGAAGAGAGACACAACACGAGACAGAGAAGAGCCACCAGCCACCGAUAGAGCAAAGAGCUGCGACCCAGCUAGCAAGCUCGUUGCUCAGUAGUAGUAGUAUUAGUUUUCAUCCCGCAAUAAGGGCCACCAUAUCCAGAGCAUUGUAAGGCUCAAGAAGGUAGUUAGAAGCUAAUUUUCUUUAGUUUGUGUAAUUCCUUCGGGGCCUCCCGAAAGGGAAAGCCAUAUGUAAAUUACGUCGUGGAAAUGAUGUAGUUUCUUGGUUUCA
Aegilops tauschii subsp. strangulata is the source of this 742-nucleotide long non-coding RNA. RefSeq lists it as uncharacterized. NCBI's taxonomy places the organism in Eukaryota, Viridiplantae, Streptophyta, Magnoliopsida, Poales, Poaceae. The record is from RefSeq and is a predicted model, not a curated record.